Molecule: transfer RNA, 83 nt
Filed under: Coprinopsis cinerea okayama7#130
Lineage: Eukaryota; Fungi; Basidiomycota; Agaricomycetes; Agaricales; Psathyrellaceae
Also listed under: 1 other name
Rfam family: tRNA
About the family: Transfer RNA (tRNA) molecules are approximately 80 nucleotides in length. Their secondary structure includes four short double-helical elements and three loops (D, anti-codon, and T loops).
Source: Rfam by way of RNAcentral
GGCCUGAUGGUCUAGUAGUAUGAUUCCUUGUUAGGGUUCGCCUUAUAUCGAGGAGGUCCCGGGUUCAAUUCCCGGUCAGGCCC